AAAUUCAAAUUUUAGAGGAUCCAAAUCCGAAAAUAAAAAUUAGACUCAAUCAAUUUAUAGUUGCUUGGAGUAACAAAAUAUGAGGAUAAAUAUAUGUGCUUCAUUUUUGUAGCAAAAUGCUUAUUUGUCUCUGGUUCCCACCUAUGUAACCAAACAUACCCUUUUUAAUGGGGUUAAAAAAGGUUAGUAAAAGCUGAUGCAAGAUAUUUGCUUUGUUAUAGAGCAAUUUACUGGAAUGGAGCAUUAUGAAUUUUCUGUUACUGGAGUUGUAUCUCACUUUUAGCAUUAUGAAUUUUCUGUUACAAUGGCAUUACUUAAAUGCUAUGCAAGAUAUUAGUCACUGUAUGCAAGUUACUAAGAUAGUUGACAUUUAGUUUAGUUGAUUAUUACUUGUAACUUAAGUCACUAAGAUAGUUAAUUAGUUAGUUGGUGUAACAGUAUGCAAGUUAGUUUAUUGUAAAUGAAAAAAAUGGUGAGUGAAGACGAAAAAUGAAGCCCGAGAAACCAGAAGCUAUUGCCGGCUAGGACGAAGAGGCACUGCUUCUCGCGAGCCUCGUCGUUGAAGACACACUCGAUAGAGAUUUCAAACACAAGAAGCGCUCUGUCUUGAACUCUAAGACUCCACCAACCAAUUCAAGAAGGAAACGCAGGGCACAGAGUUCCCCAGAAUCGAUACGAGUGGCUGUUUUUGAUCUUGACGAAGAAGAGACUCCAAGAAAAGAUAGUGAGAAAAAGACUAAAGAAAAGAAGGCCACUGUAAACGAAGAGAGUAAAAAAGGAGGGAAGGAAUCCGGUGUUGCUGCACUUCCCUGCAUUUAUAAGCUCAGAGAUGAGCUUUCUUGCGCGAUUUGUUUGGAGAUAUGCUUUGAGCCAAGUACCACCCCUUGUGGUCACAGCUUUUGUAAAAGGUGCUUUCGAUCUGCUACAGACAAAUGUGGCAAAAAAUGCCCAAAAUGCAGGCAAUUAAUAGGGUAUGUAUAAUUUCUUUUCCUUCCUUCUUUUUUUACUUCACAAAAAUCUCAUAUCCUUAAUUAAUGUAAAAACUUGAAGAUUGAGCAUAGUUUAUUGACUUUCUUUAUGAAGUGAACAAUCAAAACAACUUAUGAUGCAAUAUGCAUCAGUCUCAUCUUGAUGAAAUGAGCAUA
This is an RNA transcript of Arachis ipaensis, 1145 nucleotides long. RefSeq lists it as uncharacterized. The record is from RefSeq and is a predicted model, not a curated record. NCBI's taxonomy places the organism in Eukaryota, Viridiplantae, Streptophyta, Magnoliopsida, Fabales, Fabaceae.